RNAcentral lists this ribosomal RNA (1947 nucleotides) under human gut metagenome. RNAcentral's name for it is "bacterial LSU rRNA". It matches the Rfam family "Bacterial large subunit ribosomal RNA", at positions 3 to 1983 of the family's 2925-position model. The record is from RNAcentral.
UCAAGCUAAAAAGAGCGCAGGGUGGAUGCCUUGGCACUAAGAGCCGAUGAAAGACGUGAUAAGCUGCGAUAAGCUACGGGGAGGAGCACAUAUCCAUUGAUCCGUAGAUUUCUGAAUGGGGAAACCCGGCUGAGCAUACCUCAGUCACCGUACACUGAAUCCAUAGGUGUACGGAGGGAACCCGGUGAACUGAAACAUCUAAGUAGCCGGAGGAAGAGAAAGAAAACUCGAUUUUCAAAGUAGCGGCGAGCGAAAUGGAAAGAGCCCAAACCGGAGUGCGUGCACUCCGGGGUUCGGACUGCAUUUAUGACUUCUGACUGUAGCGGAACGGUUCUGGAAAGACCGGCCAGAGAGGGUGAGAGCCCCGUAGGCGAAACGGAAAGAAGCAGAGCAGGAUCCAGAGUACCACGAGACACGAGAAACCUUGUGGGAAUGAGCGGGGACCACCCCGUAAGGCUAAAUACUCCUUAGUGACCGAUAGAGCAGAGUACUGUGAAGGAAAGGUGAAAAGGACCCCGGGAGGGGAGUGAAAGAGAACCUGAAACCCUGUGUUUACAAACUGUGGAAGUACCAUAUGAGUACAACCGCGUACUUUUUGUAGAACGGUCCGGCGAGUUACGUUUACUGGCGAGGUUAAGCACUUAAGGUGCGGAGCCGAAGGGAUACCAAGUCUUAACAGGGCGUUAAGUCAGUGUACGUAGACCCGAAACCGGGUGAUCUACCCAUGUCCAGGCUGAAGUUGCCGUAAAAGGCAAUGGAGGGCCGAACGCACAUCCGUUGAAAAGGGUGGCGAUGAGGUGUGGGUAGGGGAGAAAUUCCAAUCGAACCCGGAGAUAGCUGGUUCUCCUCGAAAUAGCUUUAGGGCUAGCCUCGUUUUAGUCUUAUGGAGGUAGAGCACUGAAUUUCCGCGGGGGCGUCAAAGCUUACCAAAGAAUAUCAAACUCCGAAUGCCAUGUAGAUGAUGAACGGGAGUCAGACUGCACGAGAUAAGUUGGGCGGUCAAAAGGGAAAGAGCCCAGACCACCGGCUAAGGUCCCAAAGUGUGUGUUAAGUGGAAAAGGAUGUGGGAAUUCGAAGACAACUAGGAUGUUGGCUCAGAAGCAGCCAUACAUUCAAAGAGUGCGUAACAGCUCACUAGUCGAGAGUUCCUGCGCCGAAAAUGUCCGGGGCUGAAACACGACACCGAAGCCGUGGACUCGCAAUGCGAGUGGUAGAGGAGCAUUCUUAAAACCGACGAAGCUGUACCGAAAGGAGCAGUGGAGGGAUAAGAAGAGAGAAUGCCGGAAUGAGUAGCGAGAGAAAGGUGGGAAUCCUUUCGGCCGAAUAUCUAAGGUUUCCAGAGUAAAGCUGAUCUGCUCUGGGUAAGUCGGGGCCUAAGCACAGGUCGCAAGACGUAAGCGAUGGAUAACAGGUUUAGAUUCCUGUACCACGCAUUAUCAGAACUGUAGGGACGCAUGUGGAAAGCACGAGCCGGGAAUGGAAAGACCGGUACAAGCGGGGUAGGUGUACGAUAGGAAAAUCCGUUGUAUAAUCCGAAGACGUGAUGUGGAGCGAAAUAAAGUAGCAAAGCGUGUGAGCCAUGUGCCGAGAAAAGCUGCUAUUGUGUAAUGCGUGCCCGUACCGUAAACCGACACAGGUGGAUGAGGAGAGAAUCCUAAGGCCGACGGAAGAAGCAUUGUUAAGGAAUUCGGCAAAAUGACCCCGUAACUUCGGGAGAAGGGGUGCCCACUGAAUGGUGGGCCGCAGAGAAUAGGCUCAAGCAACUGUUUAGCAAAAACACAGGUCUAUGCGAAACCGAAAGGUGAAGUAUAUGGGCUGACGCCUGCCCGGUGCUGGAAGGUUAAGAGGAGAGGUUAGCGCAAGCGAAGCUUUGAAUUUAAGCCCCAGUAAACGGCGGCCGUAACUAUAACGGUCCUAAGGUAGCGAAAUUCCUUGUCGGGUAAGUUC